UAACACUNCNCUUGGGAGACGACCNCAAGGUUNAACUCAANGGAUUNNCGGGGNNNCCACAAGCGGUGGAGCNUNUGUUUAAUUCGAAGCAACGCGAAGACCCUUACCAGGUCUUGACAUCCCUCUGACCUCUCUAGAGAUAGAGAUNUNCUUCGGGACAGAGGUGACAGGUGGUGCAUNGUUGUCGUCAGCUCGUGUCGUGAGAUGUUGGGUUAAGUCCCGCAACGAGCGCAACCCCUAUUGUUAGUNGCCAUCAUUCAGUUGGGCACUCUAGCGAGACUGCCGGUAAUAAACCGGAGGAAGGUGGGGAUGACGUCAAAUCAUCAUGCCCCUUAUGACCUGGGCUACACACGUGCUACAAUGGCUGGUACAACGAGUCGCAAGCCGGUGACGGCAAGCUAAUCUCUUAAAGCCAGUCUCAGUUCGGAUUGUAGGCUGCAACUCGCCUACAUGAAGUCGGAAUCGCUAGUAAUCGCGGAUCAGCACGCCGCGGUGAAUACGUUCCCGGGCCUUGUACACACCGCCCGUCACACCACGAGAGUUUGUAACACCCGAAGUCGGUGAGGUAACCUUUUAGGAGCCAGCCGCCUAAGGUGGGAUAGAUGAUUGGGGUGAAGUCGUAACAAGGUAACCA
This 634-nucleotide ribosomal RNA is filed under the name uncultured bacterium. Its description in RNAcentral is "partial 16S ribosomal RNA". It matches the Rfam family "Bacterial small subunit ribosomal RNA", at positions 862 to 1502 of the family's 1533-position model. The record is from RNAcentral.